AAAGGAAUAGACGGGGACCCGCACAAGCGGUGGAGCAUGUGGCUUAAUUCGAGGCAACGCGAAGAACCUUACCUGGGCUUGAAAUCAUAUGGGCGUUCCAUGAAAGUGGAAUUUCCUUCGGGACUGUAUGACAGGUGCUGCAUGGCUGUCGUCAGCUCGUGCCGUGAGGUGUUCGGUUAAGUCCGGCAACGAGCGCAACCCGUAUCAUUAGUUACCAUCAGGUCAAGCUGGGGACUCUAAUGAGACUGCCCGUGUUAAGCGGGAGGAAGGCGCGGAUGACGUCAAGUCAGUAUGGCCCUUACGUCCAGGGCUGCACACGUGCUACAAUGGCCGGUACAAUGAGACGCGAAACCGCGAGGUGGAGCAAAUCUACAAAACCGGUCUUAGUUCGGAUUGCAGUCUGCAACUCGACUGCAUGAAGCCGGAAUCGCUAGUAAAGGCGUAUCAGCUACGACGCCUUGAAUACGUUCCCGGGUCUUGUACACACCGCCCGU
This 494-nucleotide ribosomal RNA is filed under the name uncultured bacterium. RNAcentral describes it as "bacterial SSU rRNA". It matches the Rfam family "Bacterial small subunit ribosomal RNA", at positions 903 to 1397 of the family's 1533-position model. The record is from RNAcentral.